This 120-nucleotide ribosomal RNA is filed under the name uncultured bacterium. RNAcentral's name for it is "partial 16S ribosomal RNA". It matches the Rfam family "Bacterial small subunit ribosomal RNA", at positions 28 to 150 of the family's 1533-position model. The record is from RNAcentral.
GAUGAACGCUAGCUGGAGGCUUAAUACAUGCAAGUCGAGCGGGAUUGGUAGCAAUACCAUGAGAGCGGCGGACGGGUGAGUAACGCGUACACGACCUACCUUUGACUGGGGGAUAGCCCU